GUGAGGAAUAUUGCGCAAUGGGCGAAAGCUAGACGCAGCAACGCCGCGUGGGCGAUGAAGGUCUUCGGAUCGUAAAGCCCUUUUACAGAGGAAGAGGAAGGACAGUACUCUGGGAAUAAGUCUCGGCUAACUACGUGCCAGCAGCCGCGGUAAAACGUAGGAGGCUAGCGUUAUCCGGAUUUAUUGGGCGUAAAGCGCGUGCAGGCGGCGCUCUAAGUUGGAUGUGAAAUCUCCUGGCCUAACUGGGAGGGGUCAUUCAAUACUGGAGUGCUUGAGGGCAGGAUAGGGAAGCGGAAUUCCCGGUGUAGCGGUGGAAUGCGCAGAUAUCGGGAGGAACACCAGUGGCGAAAGCGGCUUCCUGGUCUGUACCUGACGCUGAGACGCGAAAGCUAGGGGAGCAAACGGGAUUAGAUACCCGUGUAGUCC
RNAcentral lists this ribosomal RNA (426 nucleotides) under uncultured bacterium. Its description in RNAcentral is "bacterial SSU rRNA". It matches the Rfam family "Bacterial small subunit ribosomal RNA", at positions 354 to 796 of the family's 1533-position model. The record is from RNAcentral.